This 852-nucleotide long non-coding RNA is filed under the name Gallus gallus (chicken). The record is from RNAcentral. Lineage: Eukaryota; Metazoa; Chordata; Aves; Galliformes; Phasianidae.
CAGAUAUUUGAAAGCUCUAUUUAUGGGUAUAUUUAGGGGAACUGUGCAAAUCAUUCAUGAUGCAGCCUGAAUCUCAAAAACCUGGAUUCUGCUUUCAGAAGCAAACCUGGGAUCACUGGCCAGUUCAAUAAGGGUCUAACCAACUCUGUACAGACUUCUGUGGAAAGGAGGCCAGGUUGGAUUUUAACUUUGACUUUAAUCAGCUUAGAGGAGAGGGAAUCAUCAGGGGUGAGUGCUGCUGUGUGAUGUCUUGCUGUCCUGCAGGCUGCUUUGAUUUCUCACUGGCUGUCUAAAAGCAGUAUCAAGUUGCUGCUGAUUGUAAUCAGAGUUCAAGAUGCUGGAAGUGAUUUGAAAACUGUGUUGCAGCCCAUCAAAAUGCUGUUUUCUUAGUAAGAGCACAAAGAUGCUGAAUGCCUUGCGCUGUGCCAUGAAUGCAUACUGGCAGUUCCAGACGGUGCCAAGUCUCCUGGAGCAGUGUAAGGUAAGGAAACCUGUAUGGUGCUUUCUUGCCUACAUUACCAAAUAAGUCCUGGAACUUAUUUUUCACAGAGCUUUGUCUGGGUGUUACCCUGCAGACUGCUCAUUGGCAUAGGUCAAAAUGGUGCCUGAGAGACAGCCAACAGUGUCACGUUGCUGACUGUAGCCACCAGUGCUUGAGCCCCUGCACUUAGCCUGCUGUACUUUUCAGUAUGGACACAGCCUAUAGGACUACAGGAGAAUUCCUUGAGGCUGGAUUUGUGUUCUGUUUUGGGGUAACUUUGAGGUUUAUUAGGUAAAGCCAGAUGCUGGGUAUCUGUAUGGAAUACUGCAGUGGCAUGCAAAGAUGCUUGCCCGCUAGGAUGCUUGCCAGUA